Molecule: long non-coding RNA, 1231 nt
Organism: Epinephelus fuscoguttatus (brown-marbled grouper)
Lineage: Eukaryota; Metazoa; Chordata; Actinopteri; Perciformes; Serranidae
Exons: 4
Source: RefSeq, a predicted model, not a curated record
CAUUGUCAAAACACUUAAGAAAACCAUUAUAUAGUCUACAUAAGUAUAGAUACAUACAUACAUCAAAAAACCAGGGGAAACAAAGGAUUAGGACAUACUAAAAUAAUAGGGGGAGAAGGAAAGAAAGCAAAAAAAAGAAUCAACAAACAAAAAAAAAGAAAAAAAAGAAACAUUGCCAGAAAUGUACAUAAAUAACAUCCAUAACUGUUCUUAAAGUGGGGCUAUAUUGAGCCUCUCAAAAAUACAGUUUGUUUUCAUGGCUUUUUUAUUUUUAAUGUCUUUUAUUGUUAUUGCAUAUUGGUGGAUUUCUUGGGUGAAUUGUUGCAGGCUGGGUUUUGAUUCUGCCCAUUUUUUUGUGGAUAUGGAAUUGGGCCAUAAGCAGUAAGUGUCCGACCUCACCGCAGCCUGUUGGCCCCGCCUCCUGCUGCAGCCGCCUGCUUUUGCCUACGUCACAGGUGAGGCGCAGUUCAUCUCCAACGAGCCUAAUGUCCUCUGUGCGCGUGUCAAACUACAGUAAGUGACAUCGGCUACCUUCGUCUCUGUAGGUCCUCUUCCUCCGAACAGAACAAACAAAGUCACAUAAACACGCAAACAAUCACUUGAAUUAACGCCUUUAUUCUGAAAAACCCUCCCGGAAACGUCUUAGUUGUUCUUCCGGGCAGCAGAGCAGCAACAGCAGCAGCAGAAGAAGAAGACGUUGUCAGAUAGCAUUAGCAUUAGUGCUAGCCGUUCAGUUAGCUCAUACUUGAAGAGGAGCCUGCGGAUUAAAGCUCACGCGACUCUGCUGACGUGUGAUGUAGGAGUCAUGUCCAUGUGUCUCUGUCUGUCCUCAGGUGUGAUGUAGGAAUCAUGUCCAGGUGUCUCUGUUUCUGUCUGUCCUCAGAUGUGAUGUAGGAGUCAUGUCCAUGUGUCUCUUUCUGUCCUCAGGUGUGAUGUAGGAAUCAUGUCCAGGUGUCUCUUUUUGUCCUCAGGUGUGAUGUAAGGAUCAUGUCCAGGUGUCUCUUUCUGUCCUCAGGUGUGAUGUAAGGAUCAUGUCCAGGUGUCUCUGUCUCUGUCUGUCCUCAGGUGUGAUGUAGGAAUCAUGUCCAGGUGUCUCUGUCUGUCCUCAGGUGUGAUGUAGGAAUCAUGUCCAGGUGUCUCUGUCUCUGUCUGUCCUCAGGUGUGAUGUCGGAAUCAUGUCCAGGUGUCUCUGUCUCUGUCUGUUCUCAGGUGUGAUGUAGGAAUCAUGUCC